GCUUUGCUGACGAGUUCCAAACAAGACGAAACAGCUGUCUAAUAU
Molecule: non-coding RNA, 45 nt
Filed under: Echinostoma caproni
Lineage: Eukaryota; Metazoa; Platyhelminthes; Trematoda; Plagiorchiida; Echinostomatidae
Source: RNAcentral